AACGAACGCUGGCGGCAUGCCUAACACAUGCAAGUCGAACGAGAUCUUCGGGUCUAGUGGCGCACGGGUGCGUAACGCGCGGGAAUCUGCCCUUUGGUUCGGAAUAACAGUUGGAAACGACUGCUAAUACCGGAUGAUGACGAAAGUCCAAAGAUUUAUCGCCAGAGGAUGAGCCCGCGUAGGAUUAGCUAGUUGGUGUGGUAAAGGCGCACCAAGGCGACGAUCCUUAGCUGGUCUGAGAGGAUGAUCAGCCACACUGGGACUGAGACACGGCCCAGACUCCUACGGGAGGCAGCAGUGGGGAAUAUUGGACAAUGGGCGAAAGCCUGAUCCAGCAAUGCCGCGUGAGUGAUGAAGGCCUUAGGGUUGUAAAGCUCUUUUACCCGGGAUGAUAAUGACAGUACCGGGAGAAUAAGCUCCGGCUAACUCCAUGCCAGCAGCCGCAGUAA
Molecule: ribosomal RNA, 449 nt
Filed under: uncultured bacterium
Lineage: Bacteria
Description: partial 16S ribosomal RNA
Rfam family: Bacterial small subunit ribosomal RNA
Source: RNAcentral